UACGUAGGUGGCGAGCGUUGUCCGGAUUUACUGGGUGUAAAGGGCGUGUAGGCGGGACUGCAAGUCAGAUGUGAAAUACCGGGGCUUAACUCCGGGGCUGCAUUUGAAACUGUAGUUCUUGAGUGCCGGAGAGGAAAGCGGAAUUCCUAGUGUAGCGGUGAAAUGCGUAGAGAUCGGUAGGAACACCAGUGGCGAAGGCGGCUCUCUGGUCUGCAACUGACGCUGAGGCUCGAAAGCAUGGGUAGCGAACAGG
This 253-nucleotide ribosomal RNA is filed under the name uncultured bacterium. RNAcentral's name for it is "partial 16S ribosomal RNA". It matches the Rfam family "Bacterial small subunit ribosomal RNA", at positions 524 to 776 of the family's 1533-position model. The record is from RNAcentral.